GGAGUAAAGGUUGCUUUUGAUAGAAGUUUGGCAGAGUAAUGGUUCAAGGGAGAUGUGUAGCCGAGUAAGUUUUUUAGUUUCUGUUUCUGUUUUUCUUUUGGUUCUUAGAUUUAGAAGUUUUGAACAUAUUUGCCUGCUGACAUGAAAAGGCUAUGUCAGAAAAGUGGACAACUUUUGGAGCAGACAAGGAGUGAAGUAGGGGCUUUGAAAGGAGGGUUAACUGUCUGAGAUAGGUGAUGUAAUGAAGGAAGAAAGGAACUGAUGAGGGAAGGAUCACUGGUUGGCAUUCCCAGUCCAGGUCUAUGUUUUGAGAAGGCCAUUCCCAGAUAUUGUGUGGAUGAAGAAUACAUAGAGGACCCCGACCUGGACCUACAACUGUGUAUGAGUUCAUCUUCAAGCUAAAAUAGCCCAGAUGUCUCAGAAAAGACACAGUGUGACUAGAUACUCCUAGAAUUGCUUGCUCAAACCUACACUAUGCAUAACUUUUGACUUUCCAGUUAUACCAAUAAAGCAUCAUCAUUUUUGAAGAAAUACCCAGAGUCUUAAAAGACCCCAGAUAUUGUUGCUGCCAUCUCUGAACUCCAGUGGAUAGGGAAAAAUGUAGAACAGAUUCCCUUAUGGGAAGUUUAAAUCCUAAGGCAAUGUAGCCAAGUCAUUCUUAUUAUUCAUGAAAUCAACCUGUUUCAGGGAACAAAGCUUUCCAAUGCAGUUUUCAAAUAACACACUCAAACAGGUAUGCAAGUAAAAGAGCCGGAAAGAAAAGGAAAUUGGACCAUGAUAUGUUGAAUGCUUGCUUUGAAGAGAUAGUUACAGCAAAAUGAUCAAGACCACAGGAAUUGAGGGGAAGUCUG
Pan paniscus (pygmy chimpanzee) is the source of this 851-nucleotide long non-coding RNA. Lineage: Eukaryota; Metazoa; Chordata; Mammalia; Primates; Hominidae. The record is from Ensembl.